RNAcentral lists this ribosomal RNA (401 nucleotides) under uncultured bacterium. RNAcentral's name for it is "partial 16S ribosomal RNA". It matches the Rfam family "Bacterial small subunit ribosomal RNA", at positions 338 to 755 of the family's 1533-position model. The record is from RNAcentral.
CCUACGGGUGACAGCAGUGGGGAAUAGUGCACAAUGGGGGAAACCCUGAUGCAGCAACGCCGCGUGAGUGAAGAAGGUUUUCGGAUGGUAAAGCUCUGUUAGCAGGGAAGAGGAAGGACGGGACCGGCAGAGGAAGCGACGGCUAACUACGUGCCAGCAGCCGCGGGAAUACGUAGGUGGCAAGCGUUGUUCGGAAUAACUGGGCGUAAAGGAUGCGUAGGCGGUUAAACAAGUUAUAUGUUAAAUAUAUCGGCUUAACCUGUAGAAAGCAUAUAAAACUGUUUAACUAGAGUGCAGGAGAGUUCAGUGGCCUUCCUAGUGUAGCGGUUACAUGCGUCGCGCUUCGGCAGCACACCAGUGGCGACGGCGACUUACUGGACUGUACCUGACGCUGAGGCAUG